CUGGCUGUGAGCACCAGCCCUGCGGCCUUGGCUGCAAGCUCUGCUCUGUGAUGGAUUUCUACCCUGCCAAGAUCCAGAUGAGGUGAUUCCAGGGCCAGCAGGAACUCUCAGGGCAUGUGGUGGCCACCGACCUGGUCCCCAGUGGGGCUGGACCCACCAGCUCCUGGUGCUGCUGGAAACACUAACCCCUCAGCGUGGGGUCACCUCCAGCUGCCAGGUGGAGCACGUCAGCCUGGAACACCUCCUCAGCUGGCACUGGGGCAUGGCCUGGAUCCCACAGUACAGGAGGGAGUGGGGGAGGCACUGGGGGGCUGGGAGAGGGGUUGGAGUGUGCUGGGAGUAACUGGGAGGGAGUUUGACAGAGCCUGGUUCAAACUGGGAGAGGGGUUCAGGGGUCUGGAAGGGCUGAGAAAGGGUUGUAUGCAUGUUGGGGAGAGUGGGAUGGGGUUCGAGGGGUCCUGGUGGGCACUGGGAGGGAGUUUGGGGGUGCUGGGUGUAACUGGAAGGGAUUUGAGUGAGCCUGGAGGGGAUGGAAAAACACCAGGGAUUGGAGAUCAGGGGUUGGAAUGAGGUUGGUUGUGCUGGGAAGAGACUGGGGGGAUCUUGGUGAAUCCUGGUGGUGCUGGGAAGGGACUGGGAGAGGGUUUGGGGGUCCUGGGGUAGUAGGUAGCAACGGGGAAGGGGUUAUGGGAUCCUGAGAGAGACAGGAGUGUCUUUGGUGGGUCCUGGGGAGGCUGGGAAGAGACUGGGAGGAGCUUUGGGGGCUCCUGGGUGGGCUGGAGAUGAACGGGAGGGUGCUUGGAGGGGCUUGGAGUGUCUGUGAGAGGUUUUGAGGGGUCCUGCCCUGUGGACUCCCAGAGGUGCUGCUGGACGCUGCCCGCAGCCAGGUGCUGAUGGGUGUUAGGCUUUGUUUUCCUGGUGCUCAGGCUCGGCUUCCACCUGUGCAAGAAGAGAGCUCCUGAAUCAACAAUGGCUGCAGCCUCUUCCCGUGGCCUCGAAUCCAGCCAGGAUCCCCGGCUCUGUCCCCGCGCUGAUUUUGGAGGAGGUCGAGUGUCCCCUCCAGCCCAACUGUCACUCUGCCCCCGCCCAGCUGCUCCCAGUGUUCCCAAUAAAGCUUCCCAGUGCG
Long non-coding RNA from Oenanthe melanoleuca, 1126 nucleotides. RefSeq lists it as uncharacterized. The transcript has 2 exons. Lineage: Eukaryota; Metazoa; Chordata; Aves; Passeriformes; Muscicapidae. The record is from RefSeq and is a predicted model, not a curated record.